This 492-nucleotide ribosomal RNA is filed under the name uncultured bacterium. Its description in RNAcentral is "partial 16S ribosomal RNA". It matches the Rfam family "Bacterial small subunit ribosomal RNA", at positions 29 to 507 of the family's 1533-position model. The record is from RNAcentral.
AGUGAACGCUGGCGGUAGGCCUAACACAUGCAAGUCGAACGGCAGCACAGUAAGAGCUUGCUCUUACGGGUGGCGAGUGGCGGACGGGUGAGGAAUACAUCGGAAUCUACUUUUUCGUGGGGGAUAACGUAGGGAAACUUACGCUAAUACCGCAUACGACCUACGGGUGAAAGCAGGGGAUCUUCGGACCUUGUGCGAUUGAAUGAGCCGAUGUCGGAUUAGCUAGUUGGCGGGGUAAAGGCCCACCAAGGCGACGAUCCGUAGCUGGUCUGAGAGGAUGAUCAGCCACACUGGAACUGAGACACGGUCCAGACUCCUACGGGAGGCAGCAGUGGGGAAUAUUGGACAAUGGGCGCAAGCCUGAUCCAGCCAUACCGCGUGGGUGAAGAAGGCCUUCGGGUUGUAAAGCCCUUUUGUUGGGAAAGAAAAGCAGCAGGUUAAUACCCCGCUGUUCUGACGGUACCCAACGAAUAAGCACCGGCUAACUUCGUG